AUUGAACGCUGGCGGCAUGCCUUACACAUGCAAGUCGAACGGCAGCACGGGAGCAAUCCUGGUGGCGAGUGGCGAACGGGUGAGUAAUAUAUCGGAACGUGCCCAAUCGUGGGGGAGUAACGCAGCGAAAGACUGUGCUAAUACCGCAUACGAUCUACGGAUGAAAGACGGGGGAGUUCGCAAGAACCUCGCGCGAAUGGAGCGGCCGAUAUCAGAUUAGCUAGUUGGUGGGGUAAAAGGACUCACCAAGGCGACGAUCUGUAGCUGGUCUGAGAGGACGACCAGCCACACUGGAACUGAGACACGGUCCAGACUCCUACGGGAGGCUG
RNAcentral lists this ribosomal RNA (329 nucleotides) under uncultured Pseudomonadota bacterium. RNAcentral's name for it is "bacterial SSU rRNA". It matches the Rfam family "Bacterial small subunit ribosomal RNA", at positions 30 to 351 of the family's 1533-position model. The record is from RNAcentral. Lineage: Bacteria; Pseudomonadati; Pseudomonadota.